This 352-nucleotide ribosomal RNA is filed under the name Salmonella enterica subsp. enterica serovar Enteritidis. Its description in RNAcentral is "bacterial SSU rRNA". It matches the Rfam family "Bacterial small subunit ribosomal RNA", at positions 378 to 747 of the family's 1533-position model. The record is from RNAcentral. Lineage: Bacteria; Pseudomonadati; Pseudomonadota; Gammaproteobacteria; Enterobacterales; Enterobacteriaceae.
CAAGCCUGAUCCAGCCAUGCCGCGUGAGUGAUGACGGCCUUAGGGUUGUAAAGCUCUUUCAACGGUGAAGAUAAUGACGGUAACCGUAGAAGAAGCCCCGGCUAACUUCGUGCCAGCAGCCGCGGUAAUACGAAGGGGGCUAGCGUUGUUCGGAAUUACUGGGCGUAAAGCGCACGUAGGCGGAUACUUAAGUCAGGGGUGAAAUCCCGGGGCUCAACCCCGGAACUGCCUUUGAUACUGGGUAUCUAGAGUAUGGUAGAGGUGAGUGGAAUUCCGAGUGUAGAGGUGAAAUUCGUAGAUAUUCGGAGGAACACCAGUGGCGAAGGCGGCUCACUGGACCAUUACUGACGCU